RNAcentral lists this ribosomal RNA (321 nucleotides) under Triticum aestivum (bread wheat). RNAcentral's name for it is "partial small subunit ribosomal RNA". The record is from RNAcentral. Lineage: Eukaryota; Viridiplantae; Streptophyta; Magnoliopsida; Poales; Poaceae.
AUGCCCGGAUAUUCGGCACACCUUCAUCAAUGGGAUAGGAGUAGCAACAGGUGUUGCCUAGAUGAUGGCUUCAGGAUGACUGAUGUAUUACUUGUCAUGCUUAAUUACGAAAAUGAAGCAUUAGUCAUGCUUAAUUACGAAAAAAGACUUGUCGUUGUGACUUACUAUAUCCACUUCGAAGGUCUCAUCCAGCUUGAUGUUGAAGCGCCUAUCAUCAACAAGGAAAUUUCUGUCGCACUAUCCGUGCUGGUCUUCACAAUAUUCGCACAUAAUGAAAUCUUUUUCAUCGUCAGACGACAUUUCCUAUGUUCAUAUAGGUGA